Molecule: ribosomal RNA, 374 nt
Filed under: Eriocheir sinensis (Chinese mitten crab)
Lineage: Eukaryota; Metazoa; Arthropoda; Malacostraca; Decapoda; Varunidae
Description: eukaryotic LSU rRNA
Rfam family: Eukaryotic large subunit ribosomal RNA
Source: RNAcentral
GACCUCGUGUUAGGGUAGAGUACCCGCCAAAUUUAAGCAUAUUAAUAAGCGGAGGAAAAGAAACCAACAGGGAUUCCCUUAGUAAGGGCGACUGAACCGGGAAAAGCCCAGCGCAUAACCUGGCGUCGUGACCCGGCGCCAGGGGUGUUGCGUUUCGGAGGGUCCGGCACGCAGUCUCUCACCGCCUAAGUUAUGCUUGAAAGCGGCCACUACCCAUGGAGGGUGACAGGCCCGUGUGGCGGAGCCCGCGAGGGUACGCGAGAGAUUGUCGGAAAGGGCCUCUCUGUAGAGUCGGGUUGAAAUGAGAAUGCAGCCCUAAGCAGGUGGUACACCUCCUUAUAAGGCCUAAAUAUGACCACGAGACCGAUAGCGAA